UUUUUGAUGGCUGGAAUCCAGU
RNAcentral lists this microRNA (22 nucleotides) under Fragaria vesca subsp. vesca. RNAcentral's name for it is "fve-miR11296". The record is from miRBase by way of RNAcentral. Lineage: Eukaryota; Viridiplantae; Streptophyta; Magnoliopsida; Rosales; Rosaceae.